Molecule: transfer RNA, 75 nt
Filed under: Stutzerimonas stutzeri
Lineage: Bacteria; Pseudomonadati; Pseudomonadota; Gammaproteobacteria; Pseudomonadales; Pseudomonadaceae
Also listed under: 50 other names
Description: Pseudomonas stutzeri tRNA-Val
Rfam family: tRNA
About the family: Transfer RNA (tRNA) molecules are approximately 80 nucleotides in length. Their secondary structure includes four short double-helical elements and three loops (D, anti-codon, and T loops). Further hydrogen bonds mediate the characteristic L-shaped molecular structure. tRNAs have two regions of fundamental functional importance: the anti-codon, which is responsible for specific mRNA codon recognition, and the 3' end, to which the tRNAs corresponding amino acid is attached (by aminoacyl-tRNA synthetases). tRNAs cope with the degeneracy of the genetic code in two manners: having more than one tRNA (with a specific anti-codon) for a particular amino acid; and 'wobble' base-pairing, i.e. permitting non-standard base-pairing at the 3rd anti-codon position.
Source: RNAcentral
GGGCGGCUAGCUCAGCGGUAGAGCACUCCCUUCACACGGGAGGGGUCACAGGUUCGAUCCCUGUGCCGCCCACCA